Molecule: long non-coding RNA, 4533 nt
Filed under: Actinidia chinensis (golden kiwifruit)
Lineage: Eukaryota; Viridiplantae; Streptophyta; Magnoliopsida; Ericales; Actinidiaceae
Description: long non-coding RNA (ACHI_LNC003496)
Source: RNAcentral
GCCUGGUGCAUGGUUGAAGGUCAAACAUUUACUAUCGGCAAGUGCCUUAACAUUUAAUGAAGAUGAUGCCUUUUUAUUUUAUUUUUUUUCCCUAAGAAGAGUCUGAUAAAUAUUUGACGCAAAAUUGACGUGAAGAUUGUCAAUUAGGUUGUAUUCCUUGAGAUCUUUCAUAAUUAUAUUGUGGCAUUUUCUUAUUCUGAUAUGCUUUUAGGGAUUCAGGCAUUAAUCUUGAGGCUAUAGCAUAUUAUAUUUGGUAGGGGACCAUGGCGUCUCGUGUUGUAACUUGUAAUUAUGUGUUGUUAGGGAUUUGUAAGAUUUAUAAAUUGCCUUUUGGGGAAAAUGAAAUUAGCUUUUGAUAGUGGAAAAGUCUCUCCCUCUCUCCUCUUCUUCUCCUUGCUUCUCUAUUUCACUACUCCUUGGACGCUUAGGGUGGCGCCUAGGCAAAAAUCGGCGCUUAGGCAAAAAUCGGCGCCUAGGCAAAAAUAGUUAGGAUGACAAAUGAGCACUGUUCUAAAAAUCGGCCGCCUAGGCCCCGCCUAGGACGCCUAGGAGGGCGCCUAGGCGCUGAGCUCCCCCGACCCUUCCGCCCCGCCGCUUUUUUAGAGACUAGUUGUUUAAAUUUUUAUGUAUUUUAAAGACCUAAAUUUUCAUUUCAUCUUUCUUUAGUAUUAUUUCCACACUUAAAAAAACCGUUGAAACUGCUACUAUUUUGAUGUCAUUUUUUUGUUAUAUUUGAUAUUUGGUCAUUUAUUUAGUAUUUUUAGGUAAAUAUUAAUUGUCUAAAUAUAAAAUACUACUUAAAAAAAAAUUCGCUGGACUCCAAGUGCUAGUACCCUCCUGUCCCGGCCGCCCGCUUUUACUUAUCGCCUAGCGCUUUUUAGAACACUGAAAUAGAGCAUACAUAAUGUUGACACGGUAAAUUGUGACCAAUUUGUGGUAGGUAUCUGAUGUAGAGCCUUGUGUGGUAGAACCUCAGCAUAUGAUGUACCCCACAAAGCACAUGUAAUUGGUUCGCUUAAGGUGUCACAUGAAACAUACGAGGGUGGGAGACGUCCAACUCACCUGAGGUCCCCUCCGUUGUUCGACAGGUAGGAGGCAGGUGCCUCCUCUGCAGCCCAAUGAUAGGAUCUGAUGGUUUCUAUCAUAGUUGUUGCAGAGGUUGGCAUGGUAGUCUUAUCAUGUUGUCUGGUGGUAGGGAAAAAAACACGUUCCAAAAUCUCAGUUGCCUUCAGUGGCGCCCCCCUCUCUAUCAAUGGCUAGUUAAGGUUAGCUGCCCUCGUAGAGGGGAGCCCAGCCUCCUUGACAGACCCCUCGCUCUAGGAUACAUUGGUGACAUUGGAGAUGUCUAAAAUGCUGGGGAAUGAGGAACAGCAUGGAGCCAAGUGGCUCGCUCCCUAGGUAGCAGGAAUCAAGGCCCCAUAUAGAAGACUAGGUGAAUCCCACCAGACCGCGGAUCUACCUGGGUUGGGUUGCCAAAGUUUUCCAGUAAUCUAAAUUACUAAAAUUAGAUUUUCAAAGUAUUAUAUAAUGUUUGCCCAUAAAACCCCACACAUGGCCUAAAAUAGGAACGCUUUUUGAGCCUUGUAUGUGUAGGAAGCCAAGGUAAAGCUCAGAGGAAAGGAUUGUGAACUCCCACGGACUAUCAGACUAGUUACUAUAAUACUUAGCUAUAUAUCGUUCUACUGAUAAUUGUUCAUGUCCACAGGAACUACGCCGUUAAAAAAAAUAUAUAUAUAUAUAUAUAUUUUUUAGGUGUAUUCGUUAGAAUUUUAUAAUCUAAAAACCAGAUAAGAUAUAGACGUCAGAUAAGAGAUACAUUGCAUGCAUAUAUGAAGAGAUAUAUUGUUACAAAAUGGAGAAUAAAUUAGAAACAAUAAUGAUUUUGAAAAAUUGUUUCUAGUUUGGGAGAAAUGAGGAGGAAAGAAAUGAGUGUUUUAGUUUGUUUUUUUUUUCACUAAAAAAUGAUUCAAUGGGUAAAAGAUAUGCUCAGGUUUAGAGGGUUUUUGGCAAUUGGAUCACAACCUAUGUGGGUUUCACAUAUUUGAGAAGAAGGGAAUGAUAUUUUUUGGAGAAAAAAAUAGUCUCAAGUGAAUUUCAGCCAGCCAAAUGGAUUUCAACCAUAAAUAGUGGGGAGAUAGUUUGGAAGAUUCAAAAAUAUUUGUGUAUUAAAUAAUAAAUUUUUUUGGCUUUUAUUAUAAAUUUAUUUAAAUAUUUAUUUUUACUCAAAUAUUUUUAUUACGAUCAUUGUAUAAAUUAAUUUUAAUAAAUAUUAAAAAAAUACAAUUAAAGAAAAUGGACAUAUGAAAAUCACUUCCCUUUCUAUUUGGAAUAAUUUUUUAUCUGUUUUAUUUUUUACCUUUUAUUGUUUUUAGUGAAUUUUUUUCAACCAUUAAUUAAUAUUUUCUACUAUUUCAGUUUCUCUUGAUAAAAAUAAUCUAUAAGUAUAAAAAAAAAUCUAAUUUAAGAGAAAAUUCACUAAAAAAAAUUUGUCUCCAAAUUAAAUAAUUUUUUUUUUUAUAUUUUUAGAUUAUUCUCGUCAAAAGAACUAAUAAUUUAAAAAUAAAAGUUUGGAGCAAAUAACAAUCAGAUCUUUUGCAUGAAUCAACUUGGCAAGCCCUACAAGAUGACACUUUCGAGCAGGUAGAUGGGCUUCAUGGCAUUUUUCACAAGGCUUCUCAGGCAAGAUGGUUUUGGAAACGCUACCCCUAACUUGGAUGGUGAAAAUCAUGCAUUGUACUUGUCCUUCAACCGUAUGAUGUAUUUCGGAAACGAUAUCAGGGCCAUCGUCUUUCUAAGCUGUAUUUCUGGCUUAUGAGAUUUCCCCCUCACUGUGUUGCGAAUAAAGCAAAAGGCAUACGGAGAGAGAACGAUAUUGCCUCUCCAUAUUCAACUUGUGAUCGGUAUACUAAAUUUAUGUAAUAAACGUUCACUAUUCUGGAGACAAAUAUAGUCCCCUCCUAGGCCAGUCGUAACAUUUUUUGAUUCACAAGAAUACAUGAUCAAUCCUUUCAAUCACCUGCACAUUCUUCAAAUCCAAUACAAUGAAAACCGAAAGCACCCGUUGUGCAACCAUCAAGCCUCUAAUUCAAGAGUUUCAACUAAAUGACUCUGUUCAGCCUACUCGGGGGUGAUUAAUUAUUUAACACGACAGCCUGGAUCAGGCAAUCACAACAAAUCAAAGGUAUUUUUACCUCAUUCGAAUAAUCAUAAGAUACAGCUAAAAAAGAGAGACCACCACCUCCUGGUCCUGUUUUCGCCUUUGGCUCGGUGGCCAGGAGUCAGAACAGUAUCCACUAGAUGGAUAGAUGUUUUGUCUUACGCCCCAAAUAAGCACGAUUGGAUCCACUCCGAUAAUCUAUUUGUUCAUUGUGUAUGAUCUUCUAUCUACAUUAUUCAUAGAAAAAACAGAUUAGUUCGUGAAUUAAGGUAGUCAAAUAAUUUCAUAUCUAUCUUUAAAAAUAAUAAAUGGUGGCUUGAAAUCAGAAGGGGGGUGGGGUUUCUUUCUAUAUCCAAGAAAGAAAAUUUAAGAGAGAAACAUGAACAUAUUCAAAGUAACAAAAAAAAGGUGAAAAUAAUGACAAAGUGGUCAUGAUAAUAUAGUGCAAAGCAAGAACAUGCACAACAUAUAGUAAUCAAGUGCAAAGAAGACAAGAAGAGGCUAGGGGUCCGAAAAAUGAUAUGUAUUUUAACAGGAGAAGGGGGUUGGUUGGUCUAGAAAGGUAAAAGGAAGACUUUGGGUACUGAAACCCCAAACAUAGGAAGUGUGUUAAGUGGUCUCCUAAGCCCCAUUGCUAAUCACCUUCUGUUCUGACUCGGUGAAGGUGGUAGUGAUCGAAGCUCACAAGAAAGACUCAUCUGAGAGAGUCGAGAGAGAGAAAGAGAGUGCUAUCUAUGCAUUUAGCAUAAAUCCAAAGAUAAUGAACAGUGGGAAUCUGAGACAGUACUGCGCUGUACACAUUGUCUGUUGCUAUCUGCUAUGGAUUGAAUUUACUUGACCCUCCUUCCAAAUGCUGACCCCUCUCUCAAUUCUAUAUGUGAUUGUAUUAUGAAUUACAAUUUGCAUACUUACAAGUAUUGUCUGAUUCUCACUUUGGCUCUUAAUGUUUUAAUUGUUUCCAAUUCAGCGCUUCAACUACAGGCCUGUUCUCAAUGUGGUCCAAUUAGUCACGAACAUCAAAAUGGUUGGCGGAAAAUGGGUGCCUUUGUUGGAAGAAUAAACUUGUUUUAGAAGAAUAAACUUGUUUUAGUGUACUGUUUUUUUAUGUUUUAGUGGGGAUUUUGUUACUGGUUAGGCUAAUAAUGGUGUGUUAAUAUCCUAGCAGUGGAUUAGUGGUGAACAUGGAUGUGUAGUGCAGAAAGUGGGUGUUAAUGUGAGAGUGUAAUCCUAUAAAUAGUCAUGUAAUGUAAGUCAUUGUGAGCAUGAGGUAGUAUGAAAUACAUUGACAGACAUAAUUUUAUAUUUCCUCCAAUUAUCUACUUCUAGGAGUGUGUUAGUCUCUUGUCAUAAUAAAGUGGUAUUUAUCACGAAUUUCC